Molecule: transfer RNA, 85 nt
Filed under: Felis catus (domestic cat)
Lineage: Eukaryota; Metazoa; Chordata; Mammalia; Carnivora; Felidae
Also listed under: 2 other names
Rfam family: tRNA
About the family: Transfer RNA (tRNA) molecules are approximately 80 nucleotides in length.
Source: Rfam by way of RNAcentral
ACCUGGGUGGCUCAGUCGGUUGGGCGUCUGACUUCAGCUCAGGUCAAGAUCUCACGGUUUGUGGGUUUAAGCCCCAUUUCAGGCU